UGGGGAAUUUUGGACAAUGGGCGCAAGCCUGAUCCAGCCAUUCCGCGUGCAGGAUGAAGGCCCUCGGGUUGUAAACUGCUUUUGUACAGAACGAAAAGCUCUGGGUUAAUACCCUGGGGUCAUGACGGUACUGUAAGAAUAAGCACCGGCUAACUACGUG
This 160-nucleotide ribosomal RNA is filed under the name uncultured bacterium. Its description in RNAcentral is "partial 16S ribosomal RNA". It matches the Rfam family "Bacterial small subunit ribosomal RNA", at positions 355 to 507 of the family's 1533-position model. The record is from RNAcentral.